AAUUGGUCAACCAAACCCUUUUUUUUUUUUUAUUUCCUUCUACUUUCCCCCGUUUCAGACCGUUGUUGAUCACCAAAUCCUACAAUCCCGUCAUCGUAGAUCGUCUAAUCUUCCUAAAAAUCCUUUGCUUUCGAUUUGUUUCCUAUACUCUUCCAACAAGCUAAGGUUACGGCGAUUAGCCUCCUGAUCUCCACCGAAUUUCACCGUUUCCCUAACAAUUAUUUAAUGGAUCCAUCAGCGCCCAAUUUAACAAUUUUGGCCUCUUUAUGUCUCGCCGUUGCCAUUUUCGGACUUUGCUGGCCGGUCGCCCAAUCCAAACCUGAAGAUGGAAUAGUGAUUCAGCAAAUUACCAGCAAAGAAGGCGGUGUGUGCGCCGGAGUCACUGCUCCAGCGUCAUGCCCGAUCAAUUGCUUCCGCAUGGACCCCGUCUGUGGUGUCGAUGGAGUGACAUACUGGUGUGG
RNAcentral lists this unclassified non-coding RNA (461 nucleotides) under Hevea brasiliensis (rubber tree). Lineage: Eukaryota; Viridiplantae; Streptophyta; Magnoliopsida; Malpighiales; Euphorbiaceae. The record is from RNAcentral.